UUGUAAAACUGCUACAAUUCAUUCAACAUUUUGCAACAAGUCGUAAAUCGUAAUUAAUUUAACGCGGAUUAUGUAAAAGGAAAAAGGGGAUUUAGUAUAUGCAUAUGUGGUGGAGACAAAAACAAAAUCUGUACAUAAACAUUAGGCCCCUAAUUCCAGAUAAGAAGAUAAAAAAAUCCUGAAAGUUGUAUGAAAGUUCGUUCAUUUAUAUCUCUGAAAGUUGAAAAAUCUUUUCAAAAGAAAAAAAAAAACACUCCAAAAGAAACUAUGUCGACCGAUAGUUCACAAUUUGAAGUUGUUCCCGCUAAUGCCUCUGCUUUAGACAACGACGUUUCCUCUCACAUGUCUAUGUUGUAUCAGGAUAUUGUCCGAAACCCCGAACUUUUCUGGGAGAUGCUCCGGGAUUUCCAUGAAUCUUCGGACAAAAAAUUUAAGUGAGUUAUGCAUGUUCUUUUAGUGUUUUUGGUUUUCUUAAUGAAUUUUAUUG
RNAcentral lists this small RNA (487 nucleotides) under Arabidopsis thaliana (thale cress). RNAcentral's name for it is "ATSL056070". Lineage: Eukaryota; Viridiplantae; Streptophyta; Magnoliopsida; Brassicales; Brassicaceae. The record is from RNAcentral.